AAGGCCUUAGCUUAAUUAAAGCGUCUGGGUUGCAUCCAGAAGCUGUGGGGUAAAGUCCCGCAGGCCUUA
Molecule: non-coding RNA, 69 nt
Organism: Clupea harengus (Atlantic herring)
Lineage: Eukaryota; Metazoa; Chordata; Actinopteri; Clupeiformes; Clupeidae
Source: Ensembl